Molecule: ribosomal RNA, 497 nt
Filed under: uncultured bacterium
Lineage: Bacteria
Description: partial 16S ribosomal RNA
Rfam family: Bacterial small subunit ribosomal RNA
Source: RNAcentral
GAUGAACGCUGGCGGCGUGCCUAAUACAUGCAAGUCGAGCGAACGGACGAGAAGCUUGCUUCUCUGAUGUUAGCGGCGGACGGGUGAGUAACACGUGGAUAACCUACCUAUAAGACUGGGAUAACUUCGGGAAACCGGAGCUAAUACCGGAUAAUAUUUUGAACCGCAUGGUUCAAAAGUGAAAGACGGUCUUGCUGUCACUUAUAGAUGGAUCCGCGCUGCAUUAGCUAGUUGGUAAGGUAACGGCUUACCAAGGCAACGAUGCAUAGCCGACCUGAGAGGGGGAUCGGCCACACUGGAAGUGAGACACGGUCCAGACUCCUACGGGAGGCAGCAGUAGGGAAUCUUCCGCAGUGGGCGAAAGCCUGACGGAGCAACCCCGCGUGAGUGAUGAAGGUCUUCGGAUCGUAAAACUCUGUUAUUAGGGAAGAACAUAUGUGUAAGUAACUGUGCACAUCUUGACGGUACCUAAUCAGAAAGCCACGGCUAACUACGUG